UGGGCAAUUCUGCCCUUCACUCUGGGACAAAGACCCUGGAAACGGGGUCUAAUACCGGAUAACACUCUGUCCUGCAUGGGACGGGGUUAAAAGCUCCGGCGGUGAAGGAUGAGCCCGCGGCCUAUCAGCUUGUUGGUGGGGUAAUGGCCUACCAGGGCGACGACGGGUAGCCGGCCUGAGAGGGCGACCGGCCACACUGGGACUGAGACACGGCCCAGACUCCUACGGGAGGCAG
Molecule: ribosomal RNA, 235 nt
Filed under: uncultured bacterium
Lineage: Bacteria
Description: partial 16S ribosomal RNA
Rfam family: Bacterial small subunit ribosomal RNA
Source: RNAcentral